RNAcentral lists this long non-coding RNA (217 nucleotides) under Glycine max (soybean). RNAcentral describes it as "long non-coding RNA (GMAX_LNC000549)". The record is from RNAcentral. Lineage: Eukaryota; Viridiplantae; Streptophyta; Magnoliopsida; Fabales; Fabaceae.
UAUGUACUAGGGACCUCCAGUAAAAUUUUCGAGUCGAUCCAACGGUUAACGUAUCGGAACGAAGAGAAUGUUACUGGGGUAUUUGAGUAGGGAAAGCUGUGGUAUUGGAAUGUGUUUUGGGCAGAGUUUUCUGCCUCUGCCCUGUUUUCUUGGUUUAGGGUAGUUCAUGAUGUUUGGAUAUUGAAUUGCUUGGAUAUUGUGGAAGCUUGGAGGGGUU